This 397-nucleotide ribosomal RNA is filed under the name uncultured bacterium. RNAcentral's name for it is "bacterial SSU rRNA". It matches the Rfam family "Bacterial small subunit ribosomal RNA", at positions 360 to 774 of the family's 1533-position model. The record is from RNAcentral.
AAUAUUGGACAAUGGGGGCAACCCUGAGCCAGCCAUGCCGCGUGAGUGAUGAAGGCCUUCGGGUUGUAAAGCUCUUUUGGCGGGGACGAUGAUGACGGUACCCGCAGAAUAAGCCCCGGCUAACUUCGUGCCAGCAGCCGCGGUAAGACGAAGGGGGCAAGCGUUGUUCGGAAUUACUGGGCGUAAAGGGCGCGUAGGCGGUUUGCUUAGUCAGGCGUGAAAGCCCUGGGCUUAACCUGGGAUGUGCGCUUGAUACUGGCAGGCUUGAGUGUGGGAGAGGUUGGUGGAAUUCCCAGUGUAGAGGUGAAAUUCGUAGAUAUUGGGAAGAACACCGGUGGCGAAGGCGGCCAACUGAACCACAACUGACGCUGAGGCGCGAAAGCGUGGGGAGCAAACA